CCCGUAGCCGGGUUGGAGAUUCCACCUCCGAAGUUUUCUUUCUGACUUUUGAUUUUACAUUCCUAGUACAGUGGAGAAGCCCAGGCGGCCUAGAAUCCAGUGUCGUCCGUGAGUGCUGGGCAGGUGUUCAAGUGCAUCUUCCAGCCUGAGACCGCGUGGACUCGCUCAUCGUGAGGGCGAGAGGAGGAUAAGCCCAUUGGGCUGUCGGCUGAGAGUGAGGUGCGGGAUUCCAGGAACAUGAAGAUAAUGGGUGAGGCUGCUAGUCAGAAGCAAAAUGUCUAAACAAUUGCCCCCAGGCAAACUCUUGUCUCUCUGGACCUGGGUCUCAUUCUGUCGCCCAGGCUGGAGUGCAGUGGCAUGAUCAUAGCUCACUGAAGGCUUAAACUCCUGGACUCAAGCGAUCCUCCCACCUCAGCCUCCUGAGUAGCUAGGAUUACAGACUAUUCACAAUAUUGUUUGAACAUUUGAAGACAUGGGGGCCUCGCGAUCUGAUAUCUGAUAACAGACUUCUUGUAAAGCAGGACUGGUAGUUUCCUGAUAACAAAUUCUUCAAUAUGAAGAUAUGGAUAAAGCAUUUGGCUGCCAAUAAUGAAUUGCACCAAAGUCACCAAUUCAAACCAUGCCCUGAUUACUGAUGAAAUCCUUGGCAUCGUCGGAGAUCUCAUCAAAUGCCUCGUCGUCGAAGUCCCAGGUGGCAGAGGUAACGUUGGCCAAGGUUUCGUUAUCGUUGUCUCCCAUGAAGGGGGAAAGGCCACUGACUCUGGAGAGACAAGAGCAGGAGAGCAGGUGUGGCUAGGAGAGGGCGCGACGACCAGAUGAGGGAAUUGAGGCACAGCCCAGGCUCGAGUAACCUGCCCAAAGAUUCGCAGCCAGUGAGAUUGGAACCCAGGUAUCUGCCUCUAGAGCCUGUCCUCUUAAAUGCUCUACUAUCCUAACAUUUCUGUGAAGAUGAAGUAAAUUGCAGUGUUCAGCACUGGCACCAGGCCUGGUCCACAAUAAGGAAGCAGUCCGUGCCCGGAGAUCUCAUGCAGUUCUGCUGGGUUCCCUCCACUGCCUCACCAAGCUGUGAGUGCAGGAAUGACUUUAUGACCAGCAGCUUAAGCCAAAUAAACUUUAUAAGGUAAAGAAUUUCAAAACAAAAUAGAUAAGAUUUGUGGCUUAUUGACCUUACCUCUCACCUCUGUGCACCUCACCUUCAUAGCAACAACUCACCCCACUGUUCAUGCGGGCCUUGUGAGUCAGCCUUAUGGGUGUUUGACCAGCACAGUUGCCCACAGUCCCACCCUUAGACAGGCCCUGUGCUUGGUUUAAUGCUCUGCUGCUGUCAUCUCAAGAUUCUCAAUAAGGUUUGAACAAGUGGCCCCACCUUUUAUGUUGCAAAUUAUGUAGCUGUUUCUGCCCUGAUCUCAGCUGAGCCCCAUGAGAUGGGUCUGGGGGCCAGGCAAGGUGGCUCACGCCUGUAAUCCCAGCACUUUGGGAGGCCGAGAUGGAUGGAUCACCUGAGGUCAGGAGUUUGAGGCUAGCCUGGCCAACAUGGUGAAGCCCUGUCUCUACUAAAAAUACAAAAAUUAGCUGGGCGUGGUGGCAAGCACCUGUAAUCCCAGCUACUCGGGAGGCUGAGGCAGGAGAAUUGCUUGAACCCUAGAGGUGGGGGUUGCAGUGAGCCAAGAUCGCACCAUUGCACUCCAACCUGGGCGACAAGCGAAACUCAAUCUCAAAAAAAAAAAAAAAAAAAAAAAAAGAGAGAGAUGGGUCUGGGGCCCUCCUGCCAUCAACCUGUCAAGUUAGAGCUUUACCAAUGUCCCUUCUCCCAAAUGCUUAUGAAUCCAUCAUCAUCAGCCAAGCACUGACAGCUUCAGGAGUAAGGCUUUGGUUGAGUUUGACAGAACAAACCCCACUUGAAAUACUGGAGAAAAACCUUGCCAUGGGAGGAACCCUCUGGUGAAACCUUUUGUAAAGAGAAGAAAGCUUUUACAAUGUGAAUUGUCUCAUCCUAAUCAACAUAUUUGUGUUUCUGAGUAAUAGAUUUUUGUGGAUGGGAUUUUUUUUUUUAAGCAAGACCCUGAUUUAUGUUUUAAGAAGGCAAAGAGAAUCAUUCUCAGUCAUGUCCCCACGAGGGAAGGGUGGGCAUUUACCUGUCCCUGAGUCUGCACUGUUAUCUGCUGCUCCUUUCCCCUCUCUGGGCCUCAGUUUCUCCUUUUUUUUGAGAUGGAGUCUUGCUCUGUUGCCCAGGCUGGAGUGCAGUGGUGCGAUCUCCGCUUGCUGCAAGCUCUGCCCCCUGGGUUCAUGCCAUUCUCCUGCCUCAGCCUCCUGAGUAGCUGGGACUACAGGUGCCCGCCACCACUCCCAGCUAAUUUUUUUGUAUUUUUAGUAGAGAUGGGGUUUCACAGUGUUCGUUAGGAUGGUCUCUAUCUCCUGACCUCGUGAUCCGCCUGCCUCGGCCUCCCAAAGUGCCGGGAUUACAGGUGUGAGCCACCGUGCCUAGCCAGUUUCUCCUUUUAUACAUCAAGGAAACUAGGCUAGAUUUCCUAGGGGCCUCCCAGCUCUCUCUGUCUCUGGGACCCUGACCCCCACAUGGCCCAUGCAAGCCCCAUCAGGAAGCAGCCUGUCUCUUGCUUGUCAGCCACCUGCUGCUUCUUUACAUUUUCCACUGGAAACAGAGAGGGGGGAAGUCCGGCAGUACUCCAAAAGAUGCCAGGAAAAGCAAACAACCCUGCUGUGGAAUGCAGAAAGUUCCCCUUCUGCAAACCUCCUUUCCUUAUUAGGAACUAUAAUCCUGCAAAGAUAGGUCUUAAUCUCUGCAACUCUGGGCACAGUCAGGGAGAGCCUCCUCGCCUCUGGCCUCUGGCACUCCUCCUUCCUGGCAGCCUAUCCAUCUGAAAUACUCUCCUCACCCUGCCUGGCUCCUCGCCUGCCCAAGUUCCUCCAGCAUUCUCCCUAUUAAAGAGCACGUGUCUCGAAUAAAAAAUGGAAUACAUACACAGCAUGUUGACAAAGAGGGUGUUUGAAUUUUCAGUAAUGCUGUUGCUGGGUGGUGGGGUUUUACAGGAUUUUUAAAAACCUUUUUGGGGAACUUUUUCUUUAUUGCCAGAAUUUGCAUAAGGGAUCAUGUCCUUUAAGUUUUGUUUUUUUUUUUGAGAUGGGGUCUUGUUCUAUUGCCCAGGUUGGAGUGCAGUAGUGCGAUCUCAGCUCACUGAACCUCUGGCUCAAGCGAUCCUUCCACCUCAGUCUCCUGAGUAGCUGGAACCACAGGUGUGUGCCAACACAUCUGGCUAAUUUUUUGUAUUUUGGUAGAGAUGGGGUUUCACCAUGUUGCCCAGGCUAGUCUCAAAUUCCUGAGCUUAAGCAAUCCUCCUACCUCUGCCUCCCAAAGUGCAUUACAGGCAUGAGCCACUGUGCCCAGCCUUGUCUUUUUAUUUAGAAAAUAGUCAUUAUUAUUUUUUUUUAAUUUUUUUGAGACAGAGUCUCACUCUGUCACCCAGGCUGGAAUACAGUGGUGUGAUCAUGGCUCACUGCAGCCUCAACCUCCCCAGGCUCAGGUGACCCUCCCACCUAAGCCACCCGAGUAGCAGGGACCACAGGCGCAUGCCACCAUGCCCAGCUACCUUAUGUAUUUCUUGCAGAGAUGGGUUUUUUGUUUGUUUGUUUGUUUGUUUGAGAUGGAGUCUCGCUCUGUCGCCCAGGCUGGAGUGCAGUGGCACAAUCUCGGCUCACUGCAAGCUCCGCCUCCCGGGUUCAUGCCAUUCUCCUGCCUCAGCCUCCUGAGUAGAGAGAUGGGGUUUUGCCAUGUUGCCCAAGCUGGUCUCAAACUCCUGGGCUCAGGCCAUCCACUCACCUUGGUCUCCCAAAGUGCUGGGAGUAUAGGCAUGAGCCACUGCGCCCAGCUAGAUAACAGUUAUUAUUUGUUAAAAAAAUCAACCGGUCAACAAAUAAUGUUAGCAUUAAAACACCUCUUUAUCUCCCUGGUCUUAUCUAGUUUUUAACUAAUGGAUUGAUCUGUUUUUCACAAAAUUGUAAUCAGUCUGGGCAAGUCCUUGGAUGCUUUACUUUUUCUUCACUGGAUGUAUCAAGUACAGCCAGACUCUACACGUUGAUUUUUAAUGGUCAAAUUUUAGUCUUUGUGCUGAUGAAACACAAUGGUCAUGAAUGCAGGGCAUUCUAAUUUCUUAGUUCUCAGCUCAUUACAAAAGAAAUUCCCCCAGGGAAUCUGAUGUGGAGGCCUGUUUGGCUCUAGGGGCAGAAGGUUAGGAGAGGAGAGGGUGCAGAAAUGCCUCUUGGCAUUUCUGUGUGUGUGUGUGUGUGUGUGUGUGUGUGUGUGUGUGUGUGUGUGUGUGUGUGUUUUAAGAAAUGGGGGUCUUACUCUAUCAGCCAGGCUGGUCUUGAACUCCUGACCUCAAGUGAUCCUCCCAUCACAGCAUCCUGAGUAGCUGGGACCACAGGUGCACACUACUGCACCUGGCUUCUGUGUUGUGUUUCAAGCAGCAGACAGAUGCCCCGACUGUACCAGUGGCCAGCUAAGGGGACCACAUAUCUGCUGAUGGAACUACUGACUGCUAGGAAGGGGUUAGUCUUGUAUCCAUAUUAGCCAUCUGAUACUCUGGUGGGAGAGCGGAGAGGGCUGAGUAGGUCUACAGGAAGAGCUGUGCAUCAUUUUGUGGACUGGCUGAGGAAGCAGCAACCUGGGGUUUAGUUGUGUUAGUAUAAGUUGAAGGUGGUGGCUGGGCUUGGGGAGGGAACAGGAAUCCUAGGGCUGGAAUCAGAGCGUAUUUCCAGGCUCAGCAGCACAGAGGGCAGCGGCAGCCCCAGGUGGGGAAGGCAGAGGUUACUGGAUCUGGCUGAGGAGCCCUGCAGUCAGACCCUGGUCUGAGGAGGCCCCCAAUGCCCCGGCACUGUGACCCCUCCUCAGCUGACUGGGCAGCUGUCACCGGAAGAGCUGACCUGCCUCCCUGCCAUACACACCUCUCCUCCCUCCUGGCAUCUCCUGACCACACACCAGGGUGGGGAGGGACAGCUGACAGCUGUCUGCACCAUGGUGGGUGUUGGACAAACAAACAAGCAUGAAUGGGAAGGCUGUGCUGCUGGGCCUGGUCAGGAAGAGACAGAAGGAGGAAGCAGAGCAGCCAUUGCUGGUUCACUCUGGCUUGAGGGAGGCUGGGAGAGAAGGCAUUGUGGAACAGGGUGAGGGAAGGGCUCGGAGAAGAGCUGUUGUGGCCUCCCCACAGGUAGCAAGGAAGUACCAAGUCCAGGAAGUAGGGGAGGGAGACAGCAGGGGGAGGAGGGCUCUUUUUUUUUCUUUUUUUGAGACGGCUCCCAGGCUGGAGUGCAGUGGUGCAAUCUCAGCUCACUGCAAGCUCCACCUCCCGGGUUCACGCCAUUCUCCUGCCUCAGCCUCUCCGAGUAGCUGGGACUACAGGCGCCCGCCACCACACCCGGCUAAUUUUUUGUAUUUUUUAGUAGAGACGGGGUUUCACCGUGGUCUCGAUCUCCUGACCUUGUGAUCCGCCCGCCUCGGCCUCCCAAAGUGCUGGGAUUACAAGCGUGAGCCACUGCGCCCGGCCUGGGAGGAGGGCUCUUAAACGGAGGCGGGCUUAGGAUUUCUUCCGUAUGGAAGUGUGGCCUCCAGCUCUCUGGUGUUCUCGCUUCCUGCCAGAAACCACAUGGCUAUUGCUAACUUCAGAAGGUCUCUAGGUACUCACACAACCUACUAUCUCCCUUCAGGAUCUGAGGUGAGAGUGUGGGGGCUCCACGACCCCAUCCUGCUCCUUCCCUAUAGGGCCAGGAACUGCCCUGAUGGCUGGGCUGGGUGGGAGAGAGUAAAGUCACAUCGUCCUAUGGUGACACGGUCUGUUGCCUUCCCUUCCAACUCCCUGGCCUCUCCAUCUCUCACUAGCCCCAGAAAGGAGAACAAGAGGGGCUCUCUGGUACAAAGGUGGAAGUUGACCUGACAGGGACUGCCCAACAGAUGACUAGCCUCCAAAGAGAGGGACAGAGUGGGGCGGAGGAUGCCAUGAGAGCCACCAGAGAGCCUCUUUUGGGUGCUCCCAGCCAUGGCUCUGGAGUUCUGCAUAGCAGGAGCUUAAAGGAAACCAUCUCCUUGGCGCCAAUGUUUGUUUUCAGCACCACCCUCUGCUGAGAGCCCUGGCUUGGGAGGGGAACUCCCUGACUUCCAUCCAUGCUGAAAGAGCCAGCCUGGAAAAGCCCCAGAGGGCAGUGGCUCACAGUGGGGGUCCAGGACCUAAGAUGUGGCACAGGAUUGAUCCAGGCUGAGUCUGUGCCACCUGGCCUGGGUCCUUGCCACACACACCCCUCCUCCUUCCUGACACCCUUCUGCCCAAGCACCGGCAGCAUCAAAGCUAUCUUCUCCCCAUUUCCAAAACUCUGCCCUAGUUCGCUUUAAAAGCAAUCUGGUAAACAAGGUAGCAUAGUGCCCAAAUUACUAUGUUCCUCCACCUAAAAGAACUCUCAUUUGACAAUAAAGUGCCCUAUGACCCAGUUAUUCUAGUACUAGAUUAUAUAUCCAACAGAAAUGUAGAAAUAUAUUCACUGAAACACGUGAACCAGAAUGCUUCCAAUGGCCAAACUGGAACCCACUCAAAAGCCUAUCAAAGCAGAAUGGAUAAGUUAACUGGAUUAUAUUCACACAAUGGGAUACUGCAUAACACUGAGAAUAAACAGUCUACAGUGACACAUAGUUCUAUGAAUGAAUCUCACAAACGAUGUCAAGCAAAAAAAGCCAGACACUUCUUUCUGUAUGAUUUCAUUGACAUUAGCCAUGAGGGUAAUGGUGACCUCUGGGGGUUGGUAACAGGGAGGGGCGCCAGAGGGCUGUGGGGGCCUGGCAGUGAUUGGUUUCUUGAUCUGGGUAGAGGUUACACAGGUGAAAACUUAGUGAGCAGUCUAGUCACUGCUCUGUCACUGACCAGUAGAGAGACCAAUUGUCCUGGUUUGCCUGGGACUGUUCCCAUGUUAGCACCGAAAGUCCCAUAUCCUGGCAGACUGGGAUGACUGGUCCCCUGGCCCAACUGUGGGAAGUGGGCAGCCACAUGGGCUUCCUUGGCCUCUGUCACCUCAACGCCACAUGAAGAUGGAAUCCCUGCCAUGACCCACUCUUGGGUUUGUUCUGAGGAUCAAACAAGGUCCUAUGCGAAAAUCUGUAGCUGCAGAAGAUCCUGAUGCCAUGGCAGUCGGAAAACCCACUGAAGAAUAAACAGUAAGGCAAGUCUCCAUGAUGGCUGGAGGGGGACCCUGGGACCAAGCCAGACCACAGGGCAGCUGGGGCUGAACAGAGAGAGCUGACCAAGGACUGCUUCUCAAGGGUCUGGUGUUUUUCCCAGGGCCAGAGGUUAGCACUGCCCAGGCCUGGGGCUGCCCUGAAAGGGGCAGGCUGGCCCUGCCCCCUACCCUGCUGUUCCUUACUUAUCUAGGGAGCCAGGAGUCAAGCUCCAGUCCAGCUGCUGUCUCCACUUGUCAGCGCUCCUUCUCCAAGAGGGGGCGGGGCAGGGAGACAGGCAGGGAAAUGCACACUUGGCCCGGGGUUUUUCUGCUGAUCCGGGGAAGGCUGUGGUGGUGGAGCUAAUCCCAGGCAGGAAACAGGAUAACUGUCUGGGCUACAAUGCCUGUGGUGCAGGUUCCACUGAGGGGACUGUCCUAACAGGCCACAGUGAGUAAAGCUCCUGAGCAUGUGAAAAAGUCACAUUGUACAAAAGUCACCCCACUUCUGCUAAAGUUUUCGUAACACUGGUUUCUAAACCUGGCUGUGCAAAUCGCCCAGAACCUUCUCUCACACUGGAGUCUGAAGGCCUCAGGGGUCUAAGAAAAUAUUCAUAGAGGUCUUCUUCAUUUUCUAUGAAACUGUUAGAUUUUUCCUUUUGACAGUAAAAACAUUAUCGAAUGAAAGCAUACGCAUCUGCAUCUUUGGGGACACCAUCCCAUAACUGCAUGUGGCCACACAGGUUCAGGGGCUGCCACACAAGUUCUGAGACUAAUGACUGUCCGCACCCUGGGGCUUCAGGGACUAAAGCAGCCAGACCACACCGACAGAGUGUUCUCAAGCCUUGUUACUCAGAGCGCAGUCAUUGAACCAGCACAUUCGCAAACCUAGAGCCUGUUAGAAAUGUGGCAUUCCAGGUCACCCAGACCUGAACAAAAACCCUGCAAGGUAAGGAGCCGCCUAGGUGAGUCAGGCAUGCUAAUGUUUGUGAAGCCCCGGCCUAGAUGGCUGGCCUCCCCUCUCCUGCAUUAUUGUUCAUUGAAAUGGCUUUGGAUUUCCCACCUGAUUUUUCAGUUCUAAUUACUGUAUUACUUUCUUUUAUCUGUUAGUCCCAUUGAAGGCUCGAUCAUCAAUAGUGUUUAUUAAUUCACCCAUAUACUAGAUUCAGAGAUGAGGCUGGUAGUUGGGGUCCCCAUGCCAUGGGGAUGGAGUGCUAUGCCCUGAAGACAAUGAGGAUGCCCAGAGAUUCGCCCCUGGCCUCCUGCUCUCCUUCUUUGUAGACCCACACAAGUGAGGUUUUAUUACUUGGUGCCAGCCACAUUUCCCACCCUCCUGACCAAAGGCCCCAGGCUGGCCAGCCUUGGAGACAGUGAGCACCCAGAAUGGGGAUCUUGGCAUGUGUAGCUACAUGAUGCUACAGAAUAUGCAUGCUACUGACUCCCUGGGAGCCCAGGAGCAGGGUGGGCUGCCAGAGAUGGGAGGGGAGGCUGCCACCCUCCUGACUCUGGGGCGGGCUCCCCAUCAUGACAAUGGCAGGGCAGCCUGGGGACCCUCCUGUGGAACCCUCAGCCCCCACCCACCGGUCCACCAAGUGGUCCACCAGUCCACCAAGUGCCCCAGGACUCACAGGAUGUAGCAGAUGACCCCAAUGCUCCACAUGUCUGUGGCGUAGCCGAUGGGCUCAUAGUUGAUCACUUCAGGAGCCACAAACUCCGGGGUGCCAAAGAGGACCUUCAGAGACCCUGCGUUCUCUGAAACCAGGAUGGAGAAGGAUAAAUUGCCAGCACAUCACGGAGCCACCUUGAGGCCAGCAGCUGCCCGAAUCUGUGUGUUGACCCCAACCUGGGAGGGGCCAGACACAGGCUUCGGCACAGAGAACAGGCACAGAGACAUCUGACCUCCUUGUUAAACAGCUUGCCAACUCCCAGUUCCAAGCUAAGUAUGGUAUUCUGCCCACUGGUGCUGCUGCCUGGCCUUCCCCAGGCCCUGUGACUCCUGCCCUCCCUGCACCCUCUCAAGAACUUGCUCAAGGUUUAACUUUAAAGAUAAGACACUUCUCCACAUGUCCUCACAUGCCCACACUGCCUGGACUAAGCAACCUGUUCUAGAAUAAAUGUGAAAAGAUGCA
Molecule: long non-coding RNA, 9338 nt
Organism: Symphalangus syndactylus (siamang)
Lineage: Eukaryota; Metazoa; Chordata; Mammalia; Primates; Hylobatidae
Source: RefSeq, a predicted model, not a curated record